CCAAUCUUUUAGCGGGCCUUGGCUUUUUUGUCCAUGGUCUCGCAAAAAAACCUGUAUUUAAAACCCGCUCAUAAAUUAUAAAACAUAAUUUUUGUUAUUAUUAUAAUAAUAAAGA
RNAcentral lists this unclassified non-coding RNA (115 nucleotides) under uncultured Glomeraceae. RNAcentral describes it as "sequence contains ITS1". Lineage: Eukaryota; Fungi; Glomeromycota; Glomeromycetes; Glomerales; Glomeraceae. The record is from RNAcentral.